GGGGUAGCAAUACACCGGCGUACGGGUGCGUAACGCGUAUGGAACCUGCCCUUAUCUGGGGGAUAACUCGGGGAAACUCGAGCUAAUACCGCAUAAGAUAGUAAAGAGGCAUCUCUUAGCUAUUAAAGAUUUAUCGGAUAAGGAUGGCCAUGCGUAAGAUUAGAUAGUUGGCGAGGUAACGGCUCACCAAGUCUACGAUCUUUAGGGGCUCUGAGAGGAGAAUCCCCCACACUGGCACUGAGAUACGGGCCAGACUCCUACGGGAGGCAGCAGUAGGGAAUAUUGGGCAAUGGGCGGAAGCCUGACCCAGCCACGCCGCGUGCAGGAAGACGGCCCUCUGGGUUGUAAACUGCUUUUGAUUGGGAAGAAAGCAGCUCAUGCGUGAGAAUUUGACGGUACCAAUCGAAUAAGCCACGGCUAACUACGUGCCAGCAGCCGCGGUAAUACGUAGGUGGCGAGCGUUAUCCGGAUUUAUUGGGUUUAAAGGGAGCGUAGGCGGCUGAUUAAGUCAGCGGUGAAAGGUAGCAGCUUAACUGUUUUACAUGCCGUUGAUACUGGUUAGCUUGAGUUGACAGAGGGCAGAUAGAAUUCCUGGUGUAGCGGUGAAAUGCUUAGAUACCAGGAGGAAUACCGAUUGCGAAGGCAGUCUGCUGCAGUCACACUGACGCUAAGGCUCGAAGGUGCGGGGAUCAAACAGGAUUAGAUACCCUGGUAGUCCGCACAGUAAACGAUGAUUACUAGAUGUUGGCGUAAGCCAGUGUCCAAGGGAAACCGAUAAGUAAUCCACCUGGGGAGUACGCC
This 801-nucleotide ribosomal RNA is filed under the name uncultured bacterium. RNAcentral's name for it is "bacterial SSU rRNA". It matches the Rfam family "Bacterial small subunit ribosomal RNA", at positions 81 to 886 of the family's 1533-position model. The record is from RNAcentral.